This 267-nucleotide ribosomal RNA is filed under the name uncultured bacterium. Its description in RNAcentral is "partial 16S ribosomal RNA". It matches the Rfam family "Bacterial small subunit ribosomal RNA", at positions 89 to 354 of the family's 1533-position model. The record is from RNAcentral.
CGCGGACCGGCGCACGACGGUAGUAACACGUAUGUAACCUGCCCUAUGCAGGGGGAUAACCCGGAGAAUCCGGCCUAAUACCGCGUAACACCUUUUGGGAGCAUUCCCGGGAGGUUAAAGGAGAGAUCCGGCAUAGGAUGGACAUGCGUCGCAUUAGGUAGACGGCGGGGUAACGGCCCACCGUGCCGACGAUGCGUAGGGGUUCUGAGAGGAAGGCCCCCCACACUGGUACUGAGACACGGACCAGACUCCUACGGGAGGCAGCAG